GAUGAACGCUAGCUACAGGCUUAACACAUGCAAGUCGAGGGGAAACGGCAUUAAGUGCUUGCACUUUUUGGACGUCGACCGGCGCACGGGUGAGUAACGCGUAUCCAACCUUCCCAUGACUAAGGGAUAACCUGCCGAAAGGCAGACUAAUACCUUAUGGUCUUCACUGACGGCAUCAGAUGUGAAGUAAAGAUUUAUCGGUUAUGGAUGGGGAUGCGUCUGAUUAGUUAGUUGGCAGGGUAACGGCCCACCAAGGCAACGAUCAGUAGGGGUUCUGAGAGGAAGGUCCCCCACAUUGGAACUGAGACACGGUCCAAACUCCUACGGGAGGCAGCAGUGAGGAAUAUUGGUCAAUGGGCGAGAGCCUGAACCAGCCAAGUAGCGUGCAGGAUGACGGCCCUAUGGGUUGUAAACUGCUUUUGUAUGGGGAUAAAGUCAGUCACGUGUGAUUGUUUGCAGGUACCAUACGAAUAAGGACCGGCUAAUUCCGUGCCAGCAGCCGCGGUAAUACGGAAGGUCCGGGCGUUAUCCGGAUUUAUUGGGUUUAAAGGGAGCGUAGGCUGGAGAUUAAGUAUGUUGUGAAAUGUAGACGCUCAACGUCUGACUUGCAGCGCAUACUGGUUUCCUUGAGUACGCACAACGUUGGCGGAAUUCGUCGUGUAGCGGUGAAAUGCUUAGAUAUGACGAAGAACUCCGAUUGCGAAGGCAGCUGACGGGAGCGCAACUGACGCUGAAGCUCGAAGGUGCGGGUAUCGAACAGG
This 761-nucleotide ribosomal RNA is filed under the name Prevotella melaninogenica. Its description in RNAcentral is "bacterial SSU rRNA". It matches the Rfam family "Bacterial small subunit ribosomal RNA", at positions 28 to 776 of the family's 1533-position model. Lineage: Bacteria; Pseudomonadati; Bacteroidota; Bacteroidia; Bacteroidales; Prevotellaceae. The record is from RNAcentral.